UUAUAUAAUUAUUAUUAUUAUUUUAUUUAUUGUAAUAUUGAAAUUAUGAAAUAUAUUUAUUUAUAGGUUUAAUAAAAUUGAUUAUUGUUUAUUUAUAUUAUAGUUUAUUAGUAUCGAAAGAGAAUUUUAGUAUUUAUUUUUAUAGAAAGAUUUAAGUGUUUUACCUUUUGUAUUAGGGAUGAACUAUUAUAUAUAUUAUUUUUAUGUUCUCGAAUAUAGAAUUGAUCUAAUUAAAAUAAAUAUAUUAUUGUUUCAUUAAUAAGGGUAAGUUUUAAUUAGGGAUGAAAUGUUUUUCGUAAUCUAAUAUAUCUAGUUUUUGUGAAAUAAUUUAUUUAUUAUUAAAUUCAAGGGAUAAUUUUUGAUUUAUUAUUUAUAAAAAAAAUAAAUAAAUUAAUAUUUUGAUUUGAUAGUAUUAAUAAUUUAAAGUGUGUUUAUACUUAAAUUUUUGUUUGAUUUUUAUUUUUGUUAUAAAAUAUAUUAAUUAAUUUUUAUUAAUAGUGAAAGUGUUUAUAUUAGUAUAUUUAUAUUAUAUUAAUUAUAAUUUAUUAUUUUAUUUUGAAUAAAGGAAUUCGGCAAAUUUAUUUUUCGCCUGUUUAUCAAAAACAUGUCUUGUUGUAUAAAUAAUAAUAAGUUUAACCUGCCCACUGAUAAGUAUUUUUAAAUGGCCGCAGUAUAUUAACUGUGCAAAGGUAGCAUAAUAAUUUGUCUUUUAAUUGGAGACUGGAAUGAAUGGUUGGACGUGAAAAUGACUGUCUCUAUUCUUUAUAUUGAAUUUUACAUUUAAGUGAAAAGGCUUAAAUUUUAUUAAGGGACGAGAAGACCCCAUCAAGUUUUAUAAAUAUAAUUAUUUAUUUUUUCAUAUUUAAGUAUUUAAUUUAUUUUUCUGGGGUGGAAGAAAUAGUAUAUCUUUUUUUAAUUUUAAUAACUAUUAAGUUUAUUAUUGAAUUUUAAUUUAAAAUAAUAUGAUUAAAUUACUGUGGGGGUAACAGCGUUAUUUCUUUUUAGAGUUCAUAUUAAUAAAUAAGAUUGCGACCUCGAUGUUGGAUUAAUUUUACCUUAUGGUGAAGAAGUUAUAUAGGUAAGUCUGUUCGACUUUUAAUAAAUUACAUGAUCUGAGUUCAGACCGGCGUAAGCCAGGUCAGUUUCUAUCUUUAAUAAAUUUAUUUUUAUAUUGUUUAGUACGAAAGGACCAAUAAU
Molecule: ribosomal RNA, 1197 nt
Filed under: Pallenopsis pilosa
Lineage: Eukaryota; Metazoa; Arthropoda; Pycnogonida; Pantopoda; Pallenopsidae
Description: 16S ribosomal RNA
Rfam family: Archaeal large subunit ribosomal RNA (bases 467-1197)
Source: RNAcentral